GGAGAGGUGUCCGAGUGGUUGAAGGAGCACGCUUGGAAAGCGUGUAGCCUCGCAAGGGGCUCGCAGGUUCGAAUCCUGUUCUCUCCGCCA
This 90-nucleotide transfer RNA is filed under the name Candidatus Saccharimonadota bacterium. RNAcentral describes it as "tRNA-Ser". It matches the Rfam family "tRNA". From Rfam's summary of the family: Transfer RNA (tRNA) molecules are approximately 80 nucleotides in length. Their secondary structure includes four short double-helical elements and three loops (D, anti-codon, and T loops). Further hydrogen bonds mediate the characteristic L-shaped molecular structure. tRNAs have two regions of fundamental functional importance: the anti-codon, which is responsible for specific mRNA codon recognition, and the 3' end, to which the tRNAs corresponding amino acid is attached (by aminoacyl-tRNA synthetases). tRNAs cope with the degeneracy of the genetic code in two manners: having more than one tRNA (with a specific anti-codon) for a particular amino acid; and 'wobble' base-pairing, i.e. permitting non-standard base-pairing at the 3rd anti-codon position. Lineage: Bacteria; Candidatus Saccharimonadota. RNAcentral also lists the same sequence under 1 other name. The record is from RNAcentral.